UACGUAGGGUGCGAGCGUUAAUCGGAAUUACUGGGCGUAAAGCGUGCGCAGGCGGCUUUGCAAGACAGAUGUGAAAUCCCCGGGCUCAACCUGGGAACUGCAUUUGUGACUGUAUAGCUAGAGUACGGUAGAGGGGGAUGGCAUUCCGCGUGUAGCAGUGAAAUGCGUAGAUAUGCGGAGGAACACCGAUGGCGAAGGCAAUCCCCUGGACCUGUACUGACGCUCAUGCACGAAAGCGUGGGGAGCAAACAGG
This 253-nucleotide ribosomal RNA is filed under the name uncultured bacterium. RNAcentral's name for it is "partial 16S ribosomal RNA". It matches the Rfam family "Bacterial small subunit ribosomal RNA", at positions 524 to 776 of the family's 1533-position model. The record is from RNAcentral.